CGAGCGGCGGACGGGUGAGUAAUGCUUGGGAAUAUGCCUUAUGGUGGGGGACAACAGUUGGAAACGACUGCUAAUACCGCAUGAUGUCUACGGACCAAAGUGGGGGACCUUCGGGCCUCACGCCAUAAGAUUAGCCCAAGUGGGAUUAGCUAGUUGGUGAGGUAAUGGCUCACCAAGGCGACGAUCCCUAGCUGGUUUGAGAGGAUGAUCAGCCACACUGGGACUGAGACACGGCCCAGACUCCUACGGGAGGCAGCAGUGGGGAAUAUUGCACAAUGGGCGCAAGCCUGAUGCAGCCAUGCCGCGUGUGUGAAGAAGGCCUUCGGGUUGUAAAGCACUUUCAGUAAGGAGGAAAGGUUAAGUGUUAAUAGCGCUUAGCUGUGACGUUACUUACAGAAGAAGCACCGGCUAACUCCGUGCCAGCAGCCGCGGUAAUACGGAGGGUGCGAGCGUUAAUCGGAAUUACUGGGCGUAAAGCGUACGCAGGCGGUUUGUUAAGCGAGAUGUGAAAGCCCCGGGCUCAACCUGGGAACUGCAUUUCGAACUGGCAAACUAGAGUGUGAUAGAGGGUGGUAGAAUUUCACGUGUAGCGGUGAAAUGCGUAGAGAUCUGAAGGAAUACCGAUGGCGAAAGGCAGCCACCUGGGUCAACACUGACGCUCAUGUACGAAAGCGUGGGGGAGCA
This 684-nucleotide ribosomal RNA is filed under the name uncultured Pseudoalteromonas sp. Its description in RNAcentral is "bacterial SSU rRNA". It matches the Rfam family "Bacterial small subunit ribosomal RNA", at positions 92 to 770 of the family's 1533-position model. The record is from RNAcentral. Lineage: Bacteria; Pseudomonadati; Pseudomonadota; Gammaproteobacteria; Alteromonadales; Pseudoalteromonadaceae.